This is a long non-coding RNA of Penaeus indicus, 459 nucleotides long. RefSeq lists it as uncharacterized. Lineage: Eukaryota; Metazoa; Arthropoda; Malacostraca; Decapoda; Penaeidae. The transcript has 3 exons. The record is from RefSeq and is a predicted model, not a curated record.
GAAGGACAAAAAGCUCCUGCAGCAGGAUAUAUAAAGGGCAGGACGUCUAGCCUCUCCUGUUGAGUUUACUUCCUUCGUUCCAACUAUGCGGUUCUCCUUGACUCUGCUCUGCCUGUGUGUGGCGCUGGUGGCGGUGGCUCUGCCCGAGGCGGAGGCGAGGCCGCAGUUCUUCGACUUCGUGGAGGACGUCGGCGAAGGCAUCGGUGACUUCUUCGAGGGAGUUGGUGACUUCUUUUCAGGUUGAGUACCAAGUCUCGUCACCACCACCCCACCCCCACGACCAGCGCUCACUGACCUGCUCAAUCGUGAAAAUGUUGUUGUGGUCUUUGACUAAUUAAUACUAAUCCUAUUUUUUCGAUCUUCUGUGACGUCAUCCUAUCACCACGCCCCCUGUCGUCAUCGUUUCUUUUAAUGACGUCAUCACGUCAUUUUCUAAUAAAAAUAGGUGCUAUCUGUUCA